AUGCAAGUCGAGCGAGAAAGCCCUUCGGGGUAAGUACAGCGGCGGACUGGUGAGGAACACGUGAGAAUCUACCAUUCAGUGAAGAAUACCCCUGAGAAAUUAGGGUUAAUGCUGCAUACGUCCCUUCAGGGAGAAAGAUGGCCUCUUUGCUGUCGCUGAUUGAUGAGCUUGCGUACUAUUAGCUUGUUGGUGGGGUAAAGGCUCACCAAGGCUUUGAUGGUUAACCGGCCUGAGAGGGUGUUCGGUCACAUUGGAACUGAGGUACGGUCCAGACUCCUACGGGAGGCAGCAGUGAGGAAUAUUGCGCAAUGGGCGAAAGCCUGACGCAGCGACGCCGCGUGGAGGAUGAAGGCUUUCGGGUCGUAAACUUCUGUUAAGUGGGAAAAAAGCCUCGCUUCUAAUACAAGCGAGGGAUGAUGGUACCACUAGAGAAAGCACCGGCUAAUCUCGUGCCAGCAGCCGCGGUAAUACGAGAGGUGCAAGCGUUAUUCGGAAUUAUUGGGUGUAAAGGGCGUGUAGGCGGCGCGUUAAGUUUGCUGUUAAAUCCUUCGGCUUAACUGAAGGUUCGCGGUAAAAACUGGCGUGCUAGAGGAUGGAAGAGAGAAGUGGAAUUCUCGGAGUAGCGGUAAAAUGCGUAGAUCUCGAGAGGAACACCGAUGGCGAAGGCAGCUUCUUGGUCCAUAUCUGACGCUGAGGCGCGAAAGCGUGGGGAGCAAACAGGAUUAGAUACCCUGGGUAGUCCACGCCGUAAACGAUAAUCACUAGACG
Molecule: ribosomal RNA, 768 nt
Filed under: uncultured bacterium
Lineage: Bacteria
Description: bacterial SSU rRNA
Rfam family: Bacterial small subunit ribosomal RNA
Source: RNAcentral